UCUCUGGGUCACCUCCCAUCCGUGUCUAUCUGUACCCUGUUGCUUCGGCGUGGCUACGGCCCGCCGAAGACUAACAUUUGAACACUGUCUGAAGUUUGCAGUCUGAGUUUUUAGUUAAACAAUAAUUAAAACUUUCAACAACGGAUCUCUUGGUUCCGGCAUCGAUGAAGAACGCAGCGAAAUGCGAUAAUUAAUGUGAAUUGCAGAAUUCAGUGAAUCAUCGAGUCUUUGAACGCACAUUGCGCCCCCUGGUAUUCCGGGGGGCAUGCCUGUCCGAGCGUCAUUGCUGCCCUCAAGCACGGCUUGUGUGUUGGGCUUCCGUCCCUGGUAACGGGGACGGGCCCAAAAGGCAGUGGCGGCACCAUGUCUGGUCCUCGAGCGUAUGGGGCUUUGUCACCCGCUCCCGUAGGUCCAGCUGGCAGCUAGCCUCGCAACCAAUCUUUUUAACCAGGUUGACCUCGGAUCAGGUAGGGAUACCCGCUGAACUUAAGCAUAUCAAUAAGCGGAGGAA
RNAcentral lists this ribosomal RNA (511 nucleotides) under Aspergillus ruber. Its description in RNAcentral is "eukaryotic LSU rRNA". The stretch from base 130 to 283 matches the Rfam family "5.8S ribosomal RNA". Lineage: Eukaryota; Fungi; Ascomycota; Eurotiomycetes; Eurotiales; Aspergillaceae. The record is from RNAcentral.